RNAcentral lists this ribosomal RNA (506 nucleotides) under Pyrene obtusa. RNAcentral's name for it is "partial large subunit ribosomal RNA". It matches the Rfam family "Bacterial large subunit ribosomal RNA", at positions 1819 to 2600 of the family's 2925-position model. The record is from RNAcentral. Lineage: Eukaryota; Metazoa; Mollusca; Gastropoda; Neogastropoda; Columbellidae.
GGCUCUUUGAAAUUAAUAGAUGGAGAGUCGGACCUGCCCAGUGAAAUUUUUUAACGGCCGCGGUACUCUGACCGUGCAAAGGUAGCAUAAUCAUUUGCCUUAUAAUUGAAGGCUUGUAUGAAUGGUUUGACAAGAAUAUAGCUGUCUCUGUGUAAUUUCAUAGAAUUUUAUUUUGAAGUGAAGAAGCUUGAAUAAUAUUGAUAGACAAGAAGACCCUAUCGAGCUUGAAAAGAGGUUAUAGGAGUAUAAAAAUAAAUUUAAAAAAUUGUCUAUAAUAAAUUUUAGUUGGGGCGACUUAGGAACAUGUAAAACUUCCUAAAUUUAUAAAUAAACAAAAUGAUCCAAAAUUUUUUGAUUAAUGAAAUUAGUUACCGUAGGGAUAACAGCAUAAUCUUCUUUAAGAGUUCUUAUCGAAAAGGGGGUUUGUGACCUCGAUGUUGGACCAGAAUGUCCUAAAGAUGUAGCAGUCUUUAAGGGUUGGUCUGUUCGACCAUUAAAAUUCUACG